This 496-nucleotide ribosomal RNA is filed under the name uncultured bacterium. Its description in RNAcentral is "partial 16S ribosomal RNA". It matches the Rfam family "Bacterial small subunit ribosomal RNA", at positions 29 to 507 of the family's 1533-position model. The record is from RNAcentral.
AUGAACGCUGGCGGCGUGCCUAAUCCCUGCCAGUCGAGCGAACGGACGAGAAGCUUGCUUUUCUGAUGUUAGCGGCGGACGGGUGAGUAACACGUGGAUAACCUACCUAUAAGACUGGGAUAACUUCGGGAAACCGGAGCUAAUACCGGAUAAUAUUUUGAACCGCAUGGUUCAAAAGUGAAAGACGGUCUUGCUGUCACUUAUAGAUGGAUCCGCGCUGCAUUAGCUAGUUGGUAAGGUAACGGCUUACCAAGGCAACGAUGCAUAGCCGACCUGAGAGGGUGAUCGGCCACACUGGAACUGAGACACGGUCCAGACUCCUACGGGAGGCAGCAGUAGGGAAUCUUCCGCAAAGGGCGAAAGCCUGACGGAGCAACGCCGCGUGAGUGAUGAAGGUCUUCGGAUCGUAAAACUCUGUUAUUAGGGAAGAACAUAUGUGUAAGUAACUGUGCACAUCUUGACGGUACCUAAUCAGAAAGCCACGGCUAACUACGUG